AGGUCAGGACUUGCGCAAUGUUGGUCAGACUGGCAAAUAUUGCACUCGUCCCGGCCUGC
Molecule: microRNA precursor, 59 nt
Filed under: Ptychodera flava
Lineage: Eukaryota; Metazoa; Hemichordata; Enteropneusta; Ptychoderidae
Description: Pfl-Mir-92-o42_pre stem-loop
Source: RNAcentral